Non-coding RNA from Biomphalaria pfeifferi, 2819 nucleotides. Lineage: Eukaryota; Metazoa; Mollusca; Gastropoda; Planorbidae. The record is from the annotation of a GenBank genome assembly.
CUUCCUGUAUUGCAGAGAAGAAUCUAUAAAAAAAAAAAAAAAUAUGUUUAGACAUAGUUUCUAGAUAAUUUUUGUCAACAUUUUUGUCCAGUUUGAAACAGAGAAAUUGUGUCAACAAAGUAAAACUAGUAAAUAAUUGCACUUGUGGAACAGAGUGUCACAUGACAUGAUUGCAAUAAGUUCAAUGAAUAAAUGAGUCAGUUAUUCAACUGCUAGAACUAAUGUAUUAUAUUUUUUUAAAAAUAUAUUACUUGCCCAUAUUUAUAUUAUAGACAGAAGAGGAAUAGCUCAACUUGUAAGGAUAAAAUGAUAUUAGAUUGUCUAACCUAUUGUAUGUAAUGCAUCCUUUAGCAUUGUAUCUAGGUUGCUCAAGUUCUAAAAGGAUUUAAAAAAAUGGAACAUACUCAAUCACAGUUACCAAACUUGUUAUCAAAAAUAUAUUGCAGUGCCCUAUUAAGGCUUCAUUUUCAAAUUUAUUCUUAGAUAAUGCAUAACUGAGAUAAUUUUGAAUAAUUUGAUCAUUCUAUUUUAACCUAAGGAUAAUAUGAAGUGAAAUAAAUGUUUCACAAAAGCUUACUGCUCCUUACUUGUAUAUCUUAAAAUGCAAAUAAAAAACAACAACUCAUGUACAAUAAAGAAAGAGUAAACAUGAUGCAUUAAUGUCAACCGCUCAUUUUGGCCAUUGUUUGUCUUUGGAAGAAGCCUCAGAUUCCAAUAUGUGUUGACUCUAAAUAUAGAAUCGCUUGUGAGGAGGAUUAUGGACAAAGAUGUGGGCAGGCUCCAGGAGGUGCACAUAAUCACCUGACCUGAGUAGCAAUGUGGAGGCCAGAUAACAACAGCUUUUUUUUUUAUUUGAGAGAUGGAUAAUCAAAGGAGAAGUUGCAUUGGUACUUGGUCAAACUGCUAGGCGCUGGAUCAUGGUCUGUGCCCUUGACAGGGCUUAUCAAUGUUUCCUCAUAUACUCCUCCUCUACUCUCAAUAACCUUAGUACUGGUAUUAUUAUAUGUUACAUAUCAUGUUUAUUCCUUUGUUUCAGCAAUAAAAGCUUCUAGCUCCAUACAAUAAAGAAAAAGUGGGGGAAGGGGGUAUCUAGGAGGUUUUCCAUGUUGCCUUUAGGUGCUGAGUAAAUAUAACUCUGCCUGUUUUGGGUGUUGAACCUCGAGCCUCCUUCAGAGGUAGCCAAGCCAAAUUCAAGCAUGCUUAGCCUCUGGACCACGCAUCCCACUAGAUGAAAUCAUUUUUCCUUAACUAGUUUUAGUAGGACAAAUUAAUGUGACUUAUCGCCUGUUAGGGUUAGUUAGUGUCAUUAGCAGUGCUUUAACUUAUUUCAGACAGGCCCAGUAACAAGUGCAAGGAUAAGUUAAGGUGCAAAACAUAUAACUUUUUAAAAAGUACAACAAAAAAAAAGCCCUUGUCAUUCUUCUACAUGUAAUGAUGUACAAUACUGAGUGUUUGUUAAAGUCAGAAAUGUGAGAUUCACUCCUCAUACAAUGCAAUAUGGUCAAAGAUGAAAUUAAAUAUUACAAGUGUGAAGUAAUAAAAAGUAAUACUGAAUACAUUAGAGUAGAACAAGAGAAUAUCAAAUACUACAUCCAAAAUUAUAUAACAAGAGAGCUCAGUAAAGAGAUAUAUAUUUUUCUGUAUCAACAAAGUAAAAAAUAGGUGGGAUCACAUCAAAAAAUAUAUCUACAUAUAUGUAUAUGUAUAAAACUAAAAUUAAUAAAACAAUUAAUUUAAUGAAACAAAUCUUUAAAAAUGUGUAAUAUUUCAACUGAUUACAAAAAAAACAACAAAAUCUAUUUACAUAGGUGGAAAUACAGGGGGAAAAAAAGUGCUCCAUUUUGUUGGUGCAGGGAAAAGUUAUUUGCUGUUUCAUCUUGAUUCUACAAUUAUGUUACAAAGAUUCUGUGUUAACCCUGUUACUUAUUAAAAAGCGUAUUUCAACUCACUCUGUCUGGUAGAAGUUUUGUAGAUGGUUCUCCUACACCCAUUCUAGGAUCAAGUUGAAACUUUACACAAAUAUUUAUUGUACCAAACAAAACAUAAAUCAGUAAAAAAUCAAAAUUAUCCAAACAGUUCAUUAAUCAUUGGUAAUUAAUUAUUUUGUUUGGUAAUAAAUCCAAAAGUAUAGAGAGAUGUGGGUGGAAUUUUUUCCUAAUUAUUACAUUUUGUAAAUAAUUUAAUCUCCAAGUUCCCAUUCUCGGAUCAAGUUCAAAUUUUUCAUAAUAAUUUAUAGUCAAUGGCAUCACACAAAUCAAUCAAAAAAUUAACCAAUUAUUGGUAAUAAUUUAGUUCUUCUUGGUUCUUCCCCUAAAAUAAGUUUUUUUUUUUGUUGUUUUUUUAAAAUACUUUAUAUAUUUUGAUAGUUUUUCUUUUGCUUGGGAGGGAAGAUGAGGAAUUAUAUUACAAAUGAGAGGCAAUGACCAGAAUGCAUUCUCUGUUUAUUUUUUAAAGUUGAAAAAAAAACUUUCAAAAAUAAACAGAACAAGUAUUCAAAAUCACUGACUAGAGGUGUCUCAAAUUAAAAUAACUUUAAAACUAAUUGAAACAGAGAUAAGUGUUGUAAAAGACAAAACUGAAUAGCAUCAAGAGACAGUACACAUCAAAAUGUAUUGGGGGUUUGGCUUGGUCAGGAAUGAUUUCAACAAUUGUUAGCAAAUUUAUUCAUUCACUCAAACCUCUCUCUUCCUCCUGGCCGAUAUUGCAAAGUGAUCAAUAUUACCGGAGCAGGGAAGGCUAAAGAGUCAAGACUCCUGGCCAGUUAUGCAAGGUCAUUGUGAAGGUCCAUUAGAACAUUUCUUCUCAACCCCCCCCCCCCC